UGUGUGUGUGUGGUAUGUGUGUAUGUGGUGUGUGUGUUCUCAUGCUAUAAGUAUACAUGUUACAUGUGUGUAGGUGCAUGUAUUGACGAAAGAACAGUUCCAGGUGCCAUUCCUAAGGAGCUGUGCAUCUUAUUAUGGGCUUGUUCAUGUUUUGGUGGUUUAGCUAUUUUGUUGUUCUUGUCAUUGUAGUUAGGUUGGCCAGGUUUUUGUUCUGGUUUUGGUUUGGGUGUUUGGAGACUUGGUCUCUCUGUCUUGGAUCCAGGGCUAGCCAAUUCAGCCAGGUUGCCUGACUAGCAAGCCUCAGGAAUCUUCUGUGCCCCCCACCCACCCAGUGCUGGAAUUGCAAGCAUACAUCAUUACACUCAGCAUUCUUCUUUAAACCUGUUGUUCAGAUGAAAGUCAAGCACUCUACCCACUGAGCUAUUUCUCCCAUCCCCUACCUAGUAAUUUUACUGGAAACCACCCUCUACUUCCUUCUGCUCAGUGCUCUAGCAGACAUCUGGGGUUCUGCCUGAUUUCUCCUUCUGUCUAGAUCACCAAUCCAUACCAGCUGUUCUAGCUCCCAGUUCUCAAACCUGCCCUCUUCCAUCCUGUUCUUUCCCAGUUUACAAAUAGGAGCCUACCUGUGUCUUUGUUUUUCUCACUUGUUCUUAGGAGCCCAGUUUCCAACUGGCAGCCAAGAUGUUUUUUGUUUGUUUAUUUGGUUUUUUUCUUUUAUUGUUGCUGUUGUUUAGACAGUCUCACUAUAAUAGUCCUGGCAGGCCUGGAACUCACAGAUAGCCUUCUGCCCCCACUGCCAAGUGCUGAAAUUAAAGGUGUAUGCCACCAUACCCAGGUACGGUGAUCUUUUAAAUGAAUGAAAUUGUGUCAUUCCUCUGCUUGAAAGCCAUCAGUGGCUUCCCACCACGCUUGGAAAUUAUUGGAGUUUCCUUCAUGAGUGCUACCAAAACCCUGGAUGAUCUUGUAUAUGCUGUCUUCCUUGACAUCCCACUCCCGUGUGUGUGUGUGUGUGUGUGUGUGUGUGUGUGCGCGCGCGCGCGCGCGCGCGCCUGUUCUUAGCACUAGCCAAACUAUUGGGAUCUUCCCCACAAGGUUUCUUCUUUUGGGGACACUGUCUGCUGGGUCUUGGCUUCCCUCACUUUUACUCAUCUUUAAAGAUCUUAUUUAAAUGUUUGUGCUCUGGGAAUAAUUCUAAGGUAUCAGCAUGAAAUUCCUAUAUAUGUAUAUCUGAAACACACACCCAAAUGGAGCCUGUUAAGUGUUUGGCUAGAUACCUGCUUGAUGUAGACCUCAUUCCCUGGACUAUAAGCCGGGCAGAAGCAGAGCCUGUGACUGUGUCAUCACACCUCUUUGCAGCAUUGUUUACUCAGAAUCACAACACUCUGAUGCGCAUACAGCUGGAUUUCAGUCUCACCACGGCCAUCAUUUUACUGAACUCACUUUACAGAGGUGGGAUCCGAAGCACCGAAGCCAGAUAUUGCCCAAGGUCACACACAUGGUGGGUAGAGGGCCCGGCAGAGCCUCUCUAUUCCACUCAUACAGAAGAUGCACAAUACCCAGUUGCUGGGGAAGGAAGGACCCUGGGUUAACGGAUGUGGAAUAAUUGGAGUAGAAGUGUCCAGAGGGUACCAGGCAUGGCUCUCCAGGCCGGUCUUUUGAAGGUGUUUUCUAUGGUUGAUAUGAUAAGAAGCAAGUACCAUCCCAAAGUCAAUGUGAAAUAGAAGACAAAGAGACAGUGUCCAACAUUUGAGAAGUUAUAUAGUGCCCAACAAGUACACAUAGCCCAUUGGAGAUGGAUUUACAAAUGAGCUGAAGAGGUUUCAGCCAUACUACCUGUGAUGUACUGUUUCUCCAUCUUUGGAUGCAGAAUAGCAGUUCAGGCCAUUAAGAAAGUAACAUGCAUGUAUGUACACACAUGAACUUCAGCUGACAGCACAAUACAGCAGGAGGGAAGCAGGGACCCAUGAAGGACCUAUUUCAUGAACAUAAAUGGUCACCUACCAUUUGUCCCAACUUUAUGAAGUUGUCACAAGCCCCUCUCAUCCCCACUUUACUCAAGUUUACAUGAGAGGUGUCACGGCACAGACAAUCUGAAAUGCUACCUGCCUCCUCUGCUUCAAUUUACCAAAGAAAGACCUUGGACAGGCUUGAACCAGACACCUCGCUAGUCUGUGAGCCCCACUGUGACAGCCACGUGAUUCCUAAGCACAUCACCACUCCUCCUUAGGACAACAAUGAUUACUUUCCAUAAAUAAAUUAUUAUGUUUCGGCAUUAAGAUGGAAGGCUUCCAAUAAGUAACUCUACUGGGUUCCCAAAACUCUGAGCUUUUACUGUGGUUAUACUCAUUUCAUAGAGAUAACAUUGAAGCUUACGACUUUAAUAACCUAUUCAGAUCUACCGAGGCAGUUGAUAAUUAGCAGAAGGGAGAUGCAAACCUAAGCCUUCCUGAACUGUGACCCCUUGUCUGGACCAAGGAUGUCAAUGACAUGUGUGUUUCUGAGGAUACUAGGCUGUUAAGAAAGAAGGAGAUGGAUAAAAGAUGUUUAAGAGAAAGGGGCUUGGCCAGUUUUCUUACACUUCAUACAAUGAACCAUGCUGAGUUCACAGUCUGCUUCAAGUCUCUUUUCCCUGAGAUGAGGGCAGAUCAAACCACAAUAUCCCCCAUUCAUUCAUUCAUGACUUGAGUUAGACAAAUCUGGGUCUGUUCAAUGAAAAUACAAGAUUAAAUAAGACCUGGUUUCUACUCUGAGUAAGCUCUCCAUCUGAUGAGGGGGAAAAGACUUAUAAAUUAAUUAUUAGACUCCAUAUAAUAAAUGCUCCCUGGUGGAUGGAGAUACUGUGAGUCAAGGGGAAGAACAACUGGGGGAAAAAAAAGAGCCUGAAGCAACAGAAAGAGCUUGGAACCAACUUUGAAAGACAGCAAAACAACUGGAUGUGAUUCUUAUCUCUGUGACCUUGAACCAGUUGAAAUGCUUUGAGCUGUACCGUUUUUUUGUGCAGGAAAACAGCGUCAAUUGAACAGCGUGACCAAUCCUGAAAGAACUGCACAGGGGAUUAAAUGGGUUAACAUAAGCGAAAACAUUGCCAUUCAUCAGCAAAAUGGCCAAGCUGGAAAAUACAGAUGAACCGAGUGUAUAGAGGCAGAAAGGCAAUGCAAAGAGUUCUGUGAUAUGGGAUUAUGUAGCAGUGUAAUAAUAUAGAUGUGGCUGCUACAGAAAAUGCGCUGUCUUGGGACUUUGAAAUCACCAGCCAUGCUUCAAGGGAACAAAUCUCUCCAUAUGGUUUUGAGGAGAACACACAAAAAAAUAUUUUCCAGCCACUUUCAGAUAUAAUUCCUCCUUAGGUAGGAGGGAAAAGAGGAUAACUAUCCAUCAGAUCUCAGAGAAAUCGAUCAACUCGCACGUGUCUGCCGAUCCGGCCAUGUGCCCAUCACUAUGUUUGUUUCUGUGCAGAACGUCACACGAGGUAGCUGGGGAAGAAAGAACCAUGCACACUGAAUAAUUAACAGCCUUCGUGGAGGAGGUGGCAAGACCUUAAAGGAAGGCUAAGAUUCAAAGGAGAGGGUGAGGAAGAUGAAUGAAGGGGAAGGGAGGAGCAGGUGGAAGGCGUGAUAAAGACAAUGAAGGAAAGGUGAAGAGUGAGAAGAGAGAACAGGAACCGCACAUAGAAUCAGUGUUAGAGAGAGAAGGACCCAAGUGGGCCUGAGCCUGAAAGGCUACAUGGAGGCUAAACAUCUGGAUGAAGCCAAAUUAUGAUCUAGAUUGAGGAAUCUGGGUCUGACGCUUGUGUGACUUGGUCAGUGACAGGGCAUUGCCACAGAAGAAGGAAUGCAAUCUGACUGACAAUUGGGGGAAACAACAAACAGGAAAUAGUUCUGAUCAGACCGUGGCAUCUAAAAAAGCUAAAGAAGAUGCCCCAAUUAUCAGUCAGCUCUGUCUUUCAUGAAAAGAAGAAAAUGAUUUUAUUUGAAUCAUCGAGUUUAUUUGGUUCAAGAGAUUUCUCAGAAACAAAGGGAAAGGGUGGGGUGCUGAGGGAAUUGAUAGUGAAAAUCCUCAGCUUGGAAAGAUGGAAAAGCACCAUUCUUGCCCCAAGCCUAACAAAGAGGAGAUUGCCCAAGUGAUACAGCCAAGUUCAUGCUGUGACUUAUUAAAAGCAAUUAACAGAAGUCUUUCUGGUUCAUCAAAGGUUACUGAAGGAAUACAUUUUGUGAGUUAAAAGUGGAAGAUCCCUGGAGACACUAAGUCUCAAGCAAGAAAGUCACUCAGGAGGCUGGUGUGUACCAUCCAGGAAGGAAUGUGGUGGCUGGUGGCUGUCCGGGAUAGAUGGAGAGAUCAGCCAGAGAGAGGCACACCUUCAUCAAGUCUCAGCGGCUGAGGGACACUGGCUUGCUUGCCCCCAUGGUAGGCAAGAUCAGAACCGACCUUCAGGUUUUGGAGUGACAGUUGAGAGGUGCGAUUUGGUGAAGCAAGACAGCUGAAGAGAAAUAGUGCCCACACAAAUGUUAGGAAAUCGCCUCAGAGGACCUGGGACGGCUGAGAAUCUAAGAGUUACUUCUGCCUCAAGGGUCUCCCGCGUUUUUGUAAUGCCAAGGACAGAAAAGGACAAGAGAGUGCUACCGUCCCAGCCCCAGGCAUUGUGCCUGCGGUGGAGGUCUCUGCCCAAGGCGGACGCCAGGGGUCAGUGCAGGCCCAGCUUCCCCAGCUGGAGCAUCGCCGAGGUCUCCUGCCUUCAGCGAGUGUUCAUUACGGGAAAGAAUUUAAGAGAACUCUAAAUGGCAGAUUCGUUUAUGAUAGCAGCAUUUACAGGCAGUUGUAAUUAUAGUGUAUGGAAAACAAUUAUUCCCUCCUAAAAUUGCUCUUUUAAUUUUCUCUUAUUUGUCCCACAGUGAAUGUUAAAUAAGCCUCAUUGCCUUGCAGACAGCCUCCGAUAUGUGCACAGAGAGAAGCUCCUAAGCACACACCACACUGUAACCUGCACACGCGCACACUCAUUCCUAGUAUACAUGAUAGGCAAGCUCUGAAAAGCACACGGGUCCAGUCAAUAGCUUCCCACUACAGCCCCAUCCCAAGCACAGUUCAGGGAUGCCAUGUGGGAAACUCCUCCCCAUCCAUCAGAACAGGCCUCAGGAGGCACUACUCAGUGAACCCUUCCUCUCCCUCCUGAGUCCCAGACAAGUCUUUGCAGCUCCAAACUGUAUUGCACCGUGUUUCUGGGCAGACAUCUUCACCUCACAAACUUUCAUCCACUCCUUUGUCUACACUCCUCUCUUUACAUAUAAGAUUCUUAAGCCACAAAGUUCUUGCUUUUUUUUUUUUUUUUAUCACCAGUCUCCUAACACUUGGCCAGUGGGAAAGCCUGUUACUGGUCCCUGUCUCUGCCGAUGGCUCAAGAUAGUGUGCUCCCGAAGGAAGCCACAAAUUGAAUAUCUUCCCAAAAUGUUAGUUUGCAAGGAGCUGUGUUUUCACUUCCAACCUCUACCAAGGAGAGUAGAAAACCAGUCAAGGUCCAGGGCUGAAUGCAUCUUUGUGGAGACUUCAGUCACAUUGUGGAACCCUGACCAAAAUGGAUCCUAUUUCAAAGUGUCUUGGACCUUAGUGAGGUUUCAAAUACUUGGGGCUCAACAGAGGUCUCCAAUCGUCCUUGAGGAGAAAACAAAUGUCUUUAAACUCAGACUGUGGGACAGAGAGGUGGGAAUGGGAAACAAAACACAUCUUCACAGUCAAGGAUCAAUGACCCUUAUUAAAUGGAUUAGGCGGUGACAUUACAUGGGUUCUCGGGCCAUUUUAGAGUGGUUAAUGUUGGCGGAUGGAGGCCAAGCUCUAUUAAGGAAGGAUGUGGAAGUCUGUCCCCCUGAUUUAAAAGUUUGCAUUGGAGGAAGGAUGUUUGCAAUUUUCGUGAAGUCUUACUGUUAAUUGGUUGUCUUGGCCUUGAAAUGGUCUUGAUUGUUAAGUAGUUCUCUCUUUUCACACAAGGAGAGAGAAAGCAGGAGGAAGGAAUUUCAUGUGAGGGACAGAAAAAAAUGAAAAUGAUACUGAUGCCAAGUGAACCGUCUGUUGGAUGUUUGAUGUUGGCAGGCUGGACUCUUCUCUAUUCAUCCAUGUUCUCUCUGUCUUGGCUCAAAUGCUUAAGGGACUUCUGAAUCUCUUUGUUUCCUGUUUCUACCACAAAUGUAUAAAAUAGUCCCAAGAAUGCCUGCCACUUCAUAUCCAAGUCUUUUUUUUUUUCUUGUUUGUGCUGCUAUAACAAAGUACCAUAGACUCAGUAGCUCACAUACAAUAAAAAGUUUAUUUCUCACAGUUCUGGAAGCUGAGAUAUCUGACAUCAACUACCACAUUAGUUGUCUGGCUCCUUAGAGACAGUGCUUUUCACUUGUUCUCACAGGCAGGGAGAUCAGCAAACUUCCUGGCACCUCGUUUAGAAGGGUACUGUCAACUGUCAUUGACCUGUGCAAAUCUGUCUGCAAGUGCUGAGAUUUGAGGACCUUAAGGAAUGGGGUGGACUACAGUUUAAUGCUUUACUUCAGUUUCAGUGUACUUCUAAACAUGACUGUAACAAAGAAAGCAACAAUCCAGGGAAGGUUGCUUGAGUUUGGAAAAAGAUGAAAGUAAACGUCAGUAAGCACAUACUAAAUAUUAACAGAGCAGCCCUUCCCGGAACUUUCUCAGGACAGACCAAUUUGAACACAAUGCCUGGCAUAGACUAUAGAAGGCCAUGUCCAGAUACAGGAUACACUGAGGGCAGCACUCAGGACAUCCUUUUCGCAAGACUGAGCUCUAUAUGUAAGUUCCUACAGGCACUAAUCCCAUUUAUGAGGGCCUUGCCCUCAUGACACAAUCUCUCCAAAUAUUGUCUGAUUGGUGAUUAGGAUUCAACACAGGAAUGUGUGGGCAUGGAGCUGAGGAAAGAAUAGUCAUUCCCAUCAUUGUACCCAGUGCUCAUAAGGUUGCAGAAUACAGGCCUGAGUUUUCAUCCUCCAUCUGUCUUAAAAGUCCCAUGAAGAAAACCAAAGGUGUUAGAAGAUAGACACAAUGUCUUGUUAAGCAUAGAUUCUAGGACUUCCAUAAGCAGUGUUUCUUAGAAAAACAUGUGUUUGAAAGUUGAAAAAGAACUAAAAUGUAUAGAAACAUAGACAAUGUAGUCUUGUAUAUUCUUAAAUUAUUUGUACACAAAAAUAUAUAAAGUAUGUAAAUGUGUUACAUGUAUUUAUAUUUUACUAAAUUAUUUGAUUAUUUAACAAUUAGUAUUAUUUAAUAAUUAUCUAAGACCCCUCCAUGGCUUUGGAAUGAACUGUUCCAGGAAGGGAAUCUAACCUGAGGUUUCUCACUAAGGUUAUCUCAGAUCCAUUUGGCCUCCUAGCUCUAUUGCUAAAGGAGGGACAGAGGGAUGUUUGGAAUGAAAGCUGAGGCUGUGGUUCCUUCUUCAAGUAGGAAGUAGGACCAGAUAAUCCCACUUGAGCUUCCAAAAGUGUCAUUCCAUUGCCUCUUGACAGAGUUUGAAUAUGGAUCUUCCCAAGCUCAUGGUGAGAUUCAGUUGUCAUUCUGGCAGUGUUGGGACGUGGACCCUUUAAUAAGCAAGGUCUGUAAGAGGGAAUCAUGAUGCUCUCAUGGGAGUGAGUUCAUUAUCACAAGAACGGGUUAUCAUAAAGCAAGUCUGAUCUCAUAAUUUUUCCUUUUACUAAGUUAUGGGACAGCACAAAACCCUCAAAGGAAACCAAGUGGGUAAUGGGACCAAGUCUUUGAACUUCCUACUCCCCCAAAUUGUGAGCCAAAUAUCCUCUCUGGUUUAUAUACUACACCACCUAAAACAGAAACAGAUUUAGACACUUGUUUCUCUAGAGGCAAAAAUGGUGAGGCAAAAAUGUUUUGCCUGAAUGGGACUUAUUCAUCUUUCAUUCACCUGUAAACUCUGCCCAGGUCAGAUUCAUUGAACAAGUUUCUAAAAUGGUAGGUAGUACAUAAACAAGCAAGGCUUGGUAAGCACAAGUGCACUUCUGACACAGGGUGGCUGGUUAGAGCACAGAGGCAGGCUCAUUCCACAGAGCUGCUCUCCCUGGGGGUCAUAGUAAAGACAGAAGUAAAUGAUGACCAAGCUAUCUUACAUGUUUCAGCAAUUCCCGUGUUUUCAGCUUUUGGCUGAACACUUGGCAUAAAGGACCACAUUGAAUCCCCCCAAUUAUCCUGGAAGUAGGUUCUUAACCAUUGUGUUCUUGGGGGACAGUGCUGCUGAUGUGAAAGCCACCUAGGAAAUAGGAGAGAUGCAGAAUAACUAAGACUGCCUCCAAACAAUUCCAAAAACGCUCAGAAUCUGCUCAUAAAUAGUUUCAUUCUUUCAGAGGUGAAAGGGACGUCGUCCUACCCCAAUGCAGAAGAAAGGCUUUGUUGUUUGAGACCACGUCUUGCCCCUUGACUAGCCUCUUAACUUACCUAGCUCAGACUGACCUUGCACUUGUGAUCUUCCUGCCUCAGCUUCCUGGAGGAGAAAACUUUUUAAUGAUCAGCAUUGUUUACCAUCCAGGACAAUCAAACAAAACUGCCCUGUGAGAAUUUUACCGUCAUUAUUGCUGGUAAUUUUUAAUAAAGAAAAACAUCUUCAUCUUUCCCCAGUGAGUCCUGGCCUCCACCCACCCACAUUAAUCACUUCAAAAUAGCCUGAGAAUUCAUUUAAUGUCACUGCUUAAUCACUUUAUUAAAUGUCACUGCUCCUUCUAUGUGAGUAUUUGUUCUUAGCUCAUCUCUGACAUCCAUUGGUGCCUAAGAACUCCAACCCCCCUUUUUUUAUGAAGAGACUGGGAGUUUCAUGCUGUGCCUGCCUCUGGUACCCUUUGCCAGAAAGACAAACUGGCUUGAAAUCCUCUCAUAGAAAGCCAUUGUUAGAGUUAAGAGUAGCUGUCUCCCAGUCCCUCUCCACAAGGCUAUUUUAUUCUGUAAUCUUUUGUUUUUAAUUAUUAUUCUCAAGAGAAAAAAUGGCAUAAACAUUUUAGAAACUUCAGGAGGGAGAGGUAACUGAGAAAGGGAAAAAUGUUAACCUACUGGAAGAAGACUUUCUGUCACCAACAGAAAUGAUACCAAGAUGGUUUCUGCCCCACUGACUAAAACCAAGAGUUUUAGCAAGGGAGGGUGGCGUGUACUAGUCAUUUCAGCACUCAGGAAGGAAGGUGAGGUAGGGGAAUCAUGAGGUGAAGGUCAGCCUGGACUGCAUAGCAAGACCUAUCAAAAGAAGAAAGAAAAAAAAAGUAACAAGAAAUUGACCAAGAUGUUGUGAUACUACUGAAGUUAAAGUUGUCUUGCCCAACCCCACUGGCAAAAUAUGUGGAUGUGGGAGGGUGGCAAAGGUACAAUUGAUGCAGGAAGAACCUUCUCUGGAUGGAUAUGGUAUGUACUUAAGUUGAUACCAUCUUGGAUAGUAAAAUAAAGCUAAGAGCCACUGAUUGUUUCCUGUGUGUUAUGAGUAA
Non-coding RNA from Cricetulus griseus (Chinese hamster), 9452 nucleotides. Lineage: Eukaryota; Metazoa; Chordata; Mammalia; Rodentia; Cricetidae. The record is from RefSeq and is a predicted model, not a curated record.